This 1343-nucleotide ribosomal RNA is filed under the name uncultured bacterium. RNAcentral's name for it is "16S ribosomal RNA". It matches the Rfam family "Bacterial small subunit ribosomal RNA", at positions 28 to 1378 of the family's 1533-position model. The record is from RNAcentral.
GACGAACGCUUGCGGCGUGCUUAACACGUGCAAGUCGAACGGAAAGGCCCUGCUUUUGUGGGGUGCUCGAGUGGCGAACGGGUGAGUAACACGUGAGUAACCUGCCCUUGACUUUGGGAUAACUUCAGGAAACUGGGGCUAAUACCGGAUAGGAGCUCCUGCUGCAUGGUGGGGGUUGGAAAGUUUCGGCGGUUGGGGAUGGACUCGCGGCUUAUCAGCUUGUUGGUGGGGUAGUGGCUUACCAAGGCUUUGACGGGUAGCCGGCCUGAGAGGGUGACCGGCCACAUUGGGACUGAGAUACGGCCCAGACUCCUACGGGAGGCAGCAGUGGGGAAUAUUGCACAAUGGGCGGAAGCCUGAUGCAGCAACGCCGCGUGCGGGAUGACGGCCUUCGGGUUGUAAACCGCUUUCGCCUGUGACGAAGCGUGAGUGACGGUAAUGGGUAAAGAAGCACCGGCUAACUACGUGCCAGCAGCCGCGGUGAUACGUAGGGUGCGAGCGUUGUCCGGAUUUAUUGGGCGUAAAGGGCUCGUAGGUGGUUGAUCGCGUCGGAAGUGUAAUCUUGGGGCUUAACCCUGAGCGUGCUUUCGAUACGGGUUGACUUGAGGAAGGUAGGGGAGAAUGGAAUUCCUGGUGGAGCGGUGGAAUGCGCAGAUAUCAGGAGGAACACCAGUGGCGAAGGCGGUUCUCUGGGCCUUUCCUGACGCUGAGGAGCGAAAGCGUGGGGAGCGAACAGGCUUAGAUACCCUGGUAGUCCACGCUGUAAACGGUGGGUACUAGGUGUGGGGUCCAUUCCACGGGUUCCGUGCCGUAGCUAACGCUUUAAGUACCCCGCCUGGGGAGUACGGCCGCAAGGCUAAAACUCAAAGGAAUUGACGGGGCCCCGCACAAGCGGCGGAGCAUGCGGAUUAAUUCGAUGCAACGCGUAGAACCUUACCUGGGUUUGACAUGGAUCGGGAGUGCUCAGAGAUGGGUGUGCCUCUUUUGGGGUCGGUUCACAGGUGGUGCAUGGCUGUCGUCAGCUCGUGUCGUGAGAUGUUGGGUUAAGUCCCGCAACGAGCGCAACCCUUGUUCACUGUUGCCAGCACGUUAUGGUGGGGACUCAGUGGAGACCGCCGGGGUCAACUCGGAGGAAGGUGGGGAUGACGUCAAGUCAUCAUGCCCCUUAUGUCCAGGGCUUCACGCAUGCUACAAUGGCUGGUACAGAGAGUGGCGAGCCUGUGAGGGUGAGCGAAUCUCGGAAAGCCGGUCUCAGUUCGGAUUGGGGUCUGCAACUCGACCUCAUGAAGUCGGAGUCGCUAGUAAUCGCAGAUCAGCAACGCUGCGGUGAAUACGUUCCCGGG